This 530-nucleotide ribosomal RNA is filed under the name Membracioides sp. UCR ENT 00081387. RNAcentral's name for it is "partial large subunit ribosomal RNA". It matches the Rfam family "Eukaryotic large subunit ribosomal RNA", at positions 658 to 1140 of the family's 3401-position model. Lineage: Eukaryota; Metazoa; Arthropoda; Insecta; Hemiptera; Schizopteridae. The record is from RNAcentral.
AACAGCGACCAAGGAGUCUAACAUGUGCGCAAGUCAUUUGGUUUUAAAACCAAAAGGCAUAACGAAAGUAAAGUAAGCUUAGCUUAAUUAGGGAGGAUAAUUAUUAAACAAUGAUUUAUCAUUGUUUAUAAUUCGCACUCCCGGGGCGUCUAUUACUCAUUGCGAGUAAAGGCGCACCUAGAGCGUACACGUUGGGACCCGAAAGAUGGUGAACUAUGCCUGGCCAGGAUGAAGCCAGGGGAAACCCUGGUGGAGGUCCGUAGCGAUUCUGACGUGCAAAUCGAUCGUCAGAGCUAGGUAUAGGGGCGAUAGACUUAUCGAACUAUCUAGUAGCUGGUUCCUUCCGAAGUUUCCCUCAGGAUAGCUGGUGCCAAUGAUGAUUAGAGUCUCAUCUGGUAAAGCGAAUGAUUAGAGGCCUUGGGGCCGAAACGACCUCAACCUAUUCUCAAACUUUAAAUGGAUGAGAGCCUUGGCUUGCUUAAAAGUGAAGCCAAGGAUUUGGAUCUAGGUGCCAAGUGGGCCAAUUUUGG